CGGACGGGUGAGUAAUGUCUGGGAAACUGCCUGAUGAGGGGGAUAACUACUGGAAACGGUAGCUAAUACCGCAUAACGUCGCAAGACCAAAGAGGGGGACCUUAGGGCCUCUUGCCAUCGGAUGUGCCCAGAUGGGAUUAGCUAGUAGGUGGGUAACGGCUCACCUAGGCGACGAUCCCUAGCUGGUCUGAGAGGAUGACCAGCCACACUGGAACUGAGACACGGUCCAG
RNAcentral lists this ribosomal RNA (230 nucleotides) under uncultured bacterium. RNAcentral's name for it is "partial 16S ribosomal RNA". It matches the Rfam family "Bacterial small subunit ribosomal RNA", at positions 99 to 334 of the family's 1533-position model. The record is from RNAcentral.